GACGAACGCUGGCGGCGUGCCUAAUACAUGCAAGUAGAACGCACAGUUUAUACCUUAGCUUGCUACACCAUAGACUGUGAGUUGCGAACGGGUGAGUAACGCGUAGGUAACCUGCCUGGUAGCGGGGGAUAACUAUUGGAAACGAUAGCUAAUACCGCAUAAUAUUAAUUAUUGCAUGAUAAUUAAUUGAAAGGUGCAAUUGCACCACUACCAGAUGGACCUGCGUUGUAUUAGCUAGUAGGUGAGGUAACGGCUCACGUAGGCGACGAUACAUAGCCGAACUGAGAGGGUGAUCGGCCAGACUGGGACGGAGACAGGGCCCAGACUCCUACGGGAGGCAGCAGUAGGGAAUCUUCGGCAAUGGGCGAAAGUCUGACCGAGCAACGCCGCGUGAGUGAAGAAGGUUUUCGGAUCGGAAAGCUCUGUUGUAAGAGAAGAACGGGUGUGAGAGUGGAAAGUUCACACUGUGACGGUAUCUUACCAGAAAGGGACGGCUAACUACGUG
Molecule: ribosomal RNA, 505 nt
Filed under: uncultured bacterium
Lineage: Bacteria
Description: partial 16S ribosomal RNA
Rfam family: Bacterial small subunit ribosomal RNA
Source: RNAcentral